Molecule: long non-coding RNA, 330 nt
Organism: Saccostrea cuccullata (small rock oyster)
Lineage: Eukaryota; Metazoa; Mollusca; Bivalvia; Ostreida; Ostreidae
Exons: 3
Source: RefSeq, a predicted model, not a curated record
UUAGAACAAGACAUAAGACUUCUCCAAAUAAUAGAAAGGAUGCAAACUGAACUCAUAGAACUGGAAAAUAAAGUUACUAAUAUAACGAAAGAUAUGCCCUCAAAGUCUUGUUCAUCAAAUUGGAUAUCAUUUGGAUCUUCUUGUUACAUGAUAAUAGUACAGAACAAGUCAUGGGACAACACAGCUAUAAAAUGUCUACAGUAUGGUGCGAAAUUAGUCGAGAUAGAGACAAAGGAAGAAAACAAUUUUUUAAAACAACGCACCAGCAUAUAUAAUAGAAGUAUGUACUUCAUUGUAAGAUCUCAUGUAGAAUUAACAAUAUUUUUUGUA